RNAcentral lists this ribosomal RNA (253 nucleotides) under uncultured bacterium. Its description in RNAcentral is "partial 16S ribosomal RNA". It matches the Rfam family "Bacterial small subunit ribosomal RNA", at positions 524 to 776 of the family's 1533-position model. The record is from RNAcentral.
UACGGAGGGUGCAAGCGUUAUCCGGAUUCACUGGGUUUAAAGGGUGCGUAGGUGGGCUAGUAAGUCCGUGGUGAAAUCUCCAAGCUUAACUUGGAAACUGCCGUGGAUACUAUUAGUCUUGAAUCUCGUGGAGGUAAGCGGAAUAUGUCAUGUAGCGGUGAAAUGCUUAGAUAUGACAUAGAACACAAAUAGCGAAGGCAGCUUGCUACACGAGUAUUGACACUGAGGCACGAAAGCGUGGGGAUCAAACAGG